This 497-nucleotide ribosomal RNA is filed under the name uncultured bacterium. RNAcentral describes it as "partial 16S ribosomal RNA". It matches the Rfam family "Bacterial small subunit ribosomal RNA", at positions 28 to 507 of the family's 1533-position model. The record is from RNAcentral.
GAUGAACGCUGGCGGCGUGCCUAAUACAUGCAAGUCGAGCGAACAGACGAGGAGCUUGCUCCUCUGACGUUAGCGGCGGACGGGUGAGUAACACGUGGAUAACCUACCUUUAAGACUGGGAUAACUUCGGGAAACCGGAGCUAAUACCGGAUAACAUGUUGAACCGCAUGGUUCAACAGUGAAAGACGGUCUUGCUGUCGCUUAUAGAUGGAUCCGCGCCGCAUUAGCUAGUUGGUAAGGUAACGGCUUACCAAGGCAACGAUGCGUAGCCGACCUGAGAGGGUGAUCGGCCACACUGGAACUGAGACACGGUCCAGACUCCUACGGGAGGCAGCAGUAGGGAAUCUUCCGCAAUGGGCGAAAGCCUGACGGAGCAACGCCGCGUGAGUGAAGAAGGUCUUCGGAUCGUAAAACUCUGUUAUUAGGGAAGAACAAAUGUGUAAGUAACUAUGCACGUCUUGACGGUACCUAAUCAGAAAGCCACGGCUAACUACGUG